This is a long non-coding RNA of Oncorhynchus tshawytscha (Chinook salmon), 816 nucleotides long. Lineage: Eukaryota; Metazoa; Chordata; Actinopteri; Salmoniformes; Salmonidae. The record is from Ensembl.
GUCAGCAGAUGUCUUUCAGAUUGUGCCUCUUGCCGUGACGUAUAAUCUAGUGGACGGGAAAGGACACUUCAAUAACAACACGGUUACUGAUUCAACUUUCUCGCUAGCCAACACAAAACGUAAUAUUGAAGCUUAUUUUGCCAUUGUUUGUAUAUAUUCAUCUCCGUGUUUUAAACACAAUUCUGUUUGAGUAUCUACUGGUUAAAUGAACAUAAUUUACUUGUUACAUUUGCAAAUAAGGUUCAGGUUAUUUCUGAGCCAAGCACUAGGCUAGUCGCUAGCUGACAUGCCCUGACCAGGAGCUCACUUAGCUACUCCACCCCUGCUAAAGAAGAAGAGGUCUGUUGCGCGGAGAAAGAAUCUCUGGGGCUGAACUUGGUCGUGAAAGAAGAACAUGAGGAUAUUGCAAUGAAAGGAGAUGAAGACGUGUUUAGAUUUAAGCAGGAGGAGGAGAAUGCUAUAACAUUUAAAAAAGAGAAAGAACCUUGUGGAAUGAAACGGGAAGAGGAGGUUCUCACAUUGAUAGAGGAGGAGGUUACAGUUAAAGAAGAGAAAGACACUUUAGGAGAGGAAGAGGGGAUACAGGCUGUCACAGUGGAAGAGGAAGAGUGGAUACAGGCUGUUACAGUGGAAGAGGAAGAGGGGAUACAGGCUGUCACAGUGGAAGAGGAAGAGGGGAUACAGGCUGUCACAGUGGAAGAGGAAGAGGGGAUACAGACUGUCACAGUGGAAGAGGAAGAGGGGAUACAGGCUGUCACAGUGGAAGAGGAAGAGGGGAUACAGGCUGUCACAGUGGAAGAGGAAGAGGGGAUACAG